This 460-nucleotide ribosomal RNA is filed under the name uncultured bacterium. Its description in RNAcentral is "partial 16S ribosomal RNA". It matches the Rfam family "Bacterial small subunit ribosomal RNA", at positions 338 to 795 of the family's 1533-position model. The record is from RNAcentral.
CCUACGGGUGGCUGCAGUGAGGAAUAUUGGUCAAUGGACGAGAGUCUGAACCAGCCAAGUAGCGUGAAGGAUGACUGCCCUAUGGGUUGUAAACUUCGUUUCUAAAGGAAUAAAACGAGGCACGUGUGCCUUUUUGCAUGUACUUUAUGAAUAAGGAUCGGCUAACUCAGUUCCAGCAGCCGCGGUAAUACGGAGGAUCCGAGAGUUAUCCGGAUUUAUUGGGUUUAAAGGGAGCGUAAAUGGGUUGUUAAUGCCGUUGUGAAAGUUUGCGGCGCAACCGGAAAAUUGCAAUUGAUACUGGCAGCCUUGAGUACAGUUGAGGUAGGCGGAAUUCGUGGUGUAGCGGUGAAAUGCUUAGAUAUCACGAAGAACCCCGAUUGCGAAGGCAGCUUACUAAACUGUGACUGACAUUGAUGCUCGAAAGUGUGGGUAUCAAACAGGAUUAGAGACCCGAGUAGUC